AGUCGGACGGUUCUAGGGUUAGAGGCUGGAGGCUAGGAUACUAGCUUGCAGUCUCUAACCCUAGAACAGUGGCGAACGGGUGAGUAACGCGUGAGUAACCUACCCCCAAGAUGGGGAUAACAUUCCGAAAGGGAUGCUAAUACCCGAUGCGGUUAUAAGGCUGAGAUGCCUUAUAACUAAAGGGAAGCGGAAGCGACCGCUUGGGGAUGGGCUUGCGUCCCAUCAGCUAGUUGGUAGGGUAAUGGCCUACCAAGGCUAAGACGGGUAGCUGGGCCUGAGAGGGUGGUCAGCCACACUGGGACUGAGACACGGCCCAGACUCCUACGGGA
Molecule: ribosomal RNA, 329 nt
Filed under: uncultured bacterium
Lineage: Bacteria
Description: bacterial SSU rRNA
Rfam family: Bacterial small subunit ribosomal RNA
Source: RNAcentral